GGAAAAAUGUAAGCAAAGCAAUAAAGACGAUAAUAAUAAGAACUAUGUAGCAAUAGGUGUAGCCCUUGGAGUUGUCCUCGCAAUUAUACUUAUUGUUUUGGUUGUUAUUAUCUACAGAGUAAAACAUACAAAAUCACUGAAAAGGAUAAAUGCUGAGAAAGAAGAAAACAAUGGACGACAGUCAAUGUUUGAAAAACUAGAGAAUCACGCAGAUGAGAAUAGGUCUAGAACACCAGUAGAAUUGUUUAAAGUAAAGUAAAGUGCAGGUUCAUGAAGAAUCCAACAGCAAGAACAGUGCAAACAAUUCAAAAAAAAUGGAUGUUAACAUUUAUGUCGUUUAUAUGACAUUUGAACCGUUUUUUUUUAUAUCAUGAUAAUUGAAGAUUUGAAUUAUAGUCAUUUCGUACCCUAACCAUUUCGUACCCUCAAUUUCGUACUUUCACCAUUUAGUACCAUGACCAUUAUAUACCGCGGAGGGAUAUUAACAUGUGUACUAUUUCGCACCUCAUGGAAGAUUCAAAUGUAUGUCAUUUGAACAUCUUGUAAGUUUAUAUGUAUGCUAUUUCGUACCCCAUUGAAGAUUUACAUGUAUGCCAUUUCGUACCCCAUUGAGAUUUACAUGUAUGCUAUUUUGUAACCCAUUGAAGAUUUACAUGUAUGCCAUUUCGUACCUCAUUGAGGAUGUAUUUAUAUGUAUGCUAAUUCGUACUCAUGGAAGAUUUUUCAUGUGUAACAUGUCUGGGUAAAAACGUUCAUAGACGUAUAGUCCUUGUGUCCCUUUUAACGGCAUUUGCUGACAAAAAUAAAGGCAACAGUAGUAUACUGCGGUUCGAAAUUCAUAAAUGGAUUGAGAAAAAGAAUAAUUCCGGGUUACAAAUAAAAACUAAGGGAAACACAUUAAUUAUAAGAGGAGAACUACGACACAACAGAAACACAACAUUAAAAUGUAACACUUAUAGAAAUGAACUAUAAUAUAACAAUGGCCAUUUUCCCGACUUGGCACAGGACAUUUUUAGAAAACAAUUGUGAGUAGUUGAACCUGGUUUUCUGGCAUGCCAAACCUCCCGCUUUUAUGACAUUGUUAGAUAUAACAUUUAAAUGACAACAUUACAUGACAAGACAACAAGACAAAUAAAUGGGAGAACAUAUAGGACAGAGAAACACACGAAUAUGAGCUGACAAAAGGUACCAGAUUUAAAAUUUAAUACGCCAGACAAAAACAAAUAUCAAUAACUAGAAAUCAGUUGCAGAACAAAUCCUGUAAACAAACAAAGUGUAAAUAACACUAUUGAAGUGUCCAAGUUCUGCUUAACCAAAGUAAUCAUCGGUCUUUAUAAAAUUGUUAGUCUAUUGCUUUGAUUUUAUAAGUGUUAUACACUAAAAAUAAAAAGUCCAAAUAUGAUAUGAAAUAGUUAACAUGUAUUAAGUCCAUGAGGUAUGAGAUGGUAGAUGUAUUUGGCCCAUAGGGUACGAAAUUGAUGUUAUCGUGGGUACGAAAUUGAUUUUAUCGUGAAACGAAAUGGUAAAUGUUGGUUAUGAAAGGCAAAUGUUGGUACGAACUGGCAGAUGUACGAAAUGGUCAAGGUACAAAAUGACUUGCUUCUGAAGAUUUUGCAACAAAAUGCUAUCUUUCCUUUGAGUUUUACCAUUUUAAUAUUAUCAUAUUUUUGAUUAUAUACCUUUAUCAUUUAUUUAGUAGUAGAUACAGUAGUUUUGAAUAUUUGAUAAAUAGCCUGCUGUUUAAUCCAUUUCGCGCAACUUUGAUGCGCACCUUUAUUAUACCCUUUACCACACCCCUAUUUUUUAUUUAUGUAAGCUUAAGAAAUAUUUUUCCUCAAAAUAUGUCCAAAAUGAACGGUCAUUUGGGCGUGACGCAAUUUAUUGAAUAACGUUAUUGUUUGGCAUGUGACGUCACGAACGUCAAGUUUUCAUAUUUUUUGGCACACUAAAUGCAACUAUAAAAAGUACAAAACACACAAGAAAUGCAAUUAACAAAAUAUUUUUAAAACAGCCCGCAAAUUGUAAUGUAACCCAGGUGCUUCGCAUAAGUAAUAGAGCAGUUAUUUUAAAAGGCUUUUAAAACAAAACAAAAGUAGAACUGAAGGCUACCAAGUGCUAUGGAUCAGGAAACAAUUCAUAUAAUAUAAUACUCUCCUGUUGAAAUAUGUGAUAAAGCGUAUAAAACAUGGCAAAAUCCGUAUCACAUGCCUUAUCACUCUCGACCAAUGUCUUCCUUUGGGCCUAAAGGCCCUUGGGCUGAUAUUGGUGUCUCGGGAUGAUACGACAUAUGAUACGGAUGUUGCCAUGUAUUGUUCCCUAUGUAUUCUUUUACGAAAUUUAAAACUAGGUAUUGACCAUUUUAUAUAUCUGUAAUUAAACGAAUCGAAACAAACAAUUUGUUUUCGAUGAGACGUAUAUUAAUCAAUAUAUCCAGGAAAUUUAUAGUGUAUUUAUUAGUCUAUUCAUUUGUAAAAUAAACUAUUAUUAUUAAUGUUUUUUAUUCAUAUCAUUAUUUUCAUUUUCUCAUCAUUUUUUUUUAUUAUAAUAGACAUAGUUGUAUGUUAACAAAAGAGAAUUUAGAGAACUGUUAUCAUGUAAAAUUCUUGAUAUAAAGGUAGCUGAAAUUCUAACGGAAUAUGUAUGCACCCGCAACAAAAUGUCAAUGGCUAAUAAUUUUACCCCUGUACGAAUAUAGGUAACAUGGGGUUUUCUGCUUAAUCAAGGAUUUCCAUAAUAACAUAAUGUUAAAGAUAUUAUUAUAAUGAUUUUAAUUUUAUCAGAAUUUUUAUUUUCCCUAAAGUUUCCUAGCUUAAAUCUAUACAAUAUUGUACAUGAUGUUUGUACAUAUACUAAAUAAGGUUUAACACAUUAUCAGCAUUUUUGUUUCCGUUAAAGUUUUCAUAGAUGGAUUGCCCAACUAAAACUUCCUAUGUUUCCGAGCUAGAACGUUAUGCAGGGUGUCAGUACAAAUACUAUUAGUGGAAGAUAUCAGAAAUUUACCAGAUAUGACAGGAUGUUUAACUUGUUAGUCAUGUUUAUGUCCCGGGUCAAAAAGUUUUGUCGUUUACCUUUGUCGUUACAUAAUGAAGUAAAAAAAACAUUUUUAAAGACUUCCCCAUUUUGAAAAAUUUACAAUUUUCUGUAUAUGUUGUCACAUCACUCCUACAUCCAUCAAGACACCUUGGACAUUAUGUAACUAGAUAUGACACUCACGUUUACAUUUUGAAUUAAUCACAUUCACUUUUAUUUAGUUCCUGGUAACCCUGCAAAAUUUGAGAUUUGAAGUCUAACACGAUGAACAACAGUAAUUUUUUAUAUAUAA
Molecule: long non-coding RNA, 3322 nt
Organism: Mytilus trossulus (common blue mussel)
Lineage: Eukaryota; Metazoa; Mollusca; Bivalvia; Mytilida; Mytilidae
Exons: 3
Source: RefSeq, a predicted model, not a curated record